Molecule: RNA transcript, 2171 nt
Organism: Theobroma umbraticum
Lineage: Eukaryota; Viridiplantae; Streptophyta; Magnoliopsida; Malvales; Malvaceae
Gene name: putative protein S-acyltransferase 7
Source: RefSeq, a predicted model, not a curated record
AGACAGCAAAUAAUAGUCGUCAAAAUCGCGAUCCGACUCGUCUGGCGGAAAAUCGCCACGCGAGCGAAAUGUGCAACCCUCUCUCUCUCUCUCGCUCUCUAACCAUCUUUGCUGGCCUGUCGUCCAUCUUUCUGGCUUUUGAGCUUUUUGGAGAGAGACUCUAACCUCCCCCGCUGAGCUCCGAUCCCUUUUAACAUUUUACCCUUCGCCGCUCCCUCUGCAACUCUGGAACCUUGCCUUCCUCUCUUCCUCAUUCCCUUCUUAUUUCCAGAGUUGCCGAGGGACAUGUUAUAACAGUGAAAAGGACAAAGAAAGAUAGAGAGAUCUGAUUGUGGUUUAAAGAGAUGUACGAAACUCCGUUGCCUGCUCAGCUUUCUGAUUCCAACCGCCGCAUCAUCGACACCAGUGCCACUACCCUUCGAGUCUAUCAAGUUUGGAAAGGAAGCAAUAGAUUUUGCCUUGGAGGUAGACUUGUAUUUGGUCCAGAUGUAAGGUCAAUCUUCCUUACAAUAUCUCUAAUUGUGAUCCCUGUCAUUUUGUUUUGCGCUUUUGUUUCUCAAAGACUCAUUCACGAAUUGGACCACCAUCUUGGCAACCUCAUUGUAUCUAUUCUCAUUAUCUUCACUGUAUAUGAUCUUAUACUUCUGCUCCUCACAUCUGGAAGAGAUCCUGGCAUUAUUCCUCGAAACCUGCAUCCCCCAGAACUGGAGGAAGAUGGUUCCACUAUGUCUACGGAUUGGCUAGGGAGUCAGAGUGGUGUUGGUGUUCCAAGUUUACCUCCUACAAAAGAUGUUGUGGUUAAUGGGGUGAUUGUCAAGGUUAAAUACUGUCAAACGUGUAUGUUGUAUCGCCCACCCCGCUGCUCACAUUGCUCUAUAUGCAAUAACUGUGUGGAGCGCUUCGAUCACCAUUGUCCAUGGGUGGGGCAAUGUAUCGGGAAGAGAAAUUAUAGAUUCUUCUUCAUGUUCGUGUCUUCCACAACCAUACUAUGCCUAUAUGUUUUUGCCUUAUGCUGGGUAAACAUUAAGAAAAUAAUGGAUGAAUAUCACUCUAAUGUCUGGAGAGCAUUCUUGAAGUCUCCUGUCUCAGGGAUUCUUAUUCUAUAUACAUUUGUGACUGCUUGGUUUGUUGGAGGCCUCACUGUGUUUCAUCUCUAUUUGAUUUUUACCAAUCAGACAACAUAUGAAAAUUUCCGGUAUCGUUAUGAUUCAAAAAUGAAUCCUUAUAACCGUGGCUGUGUCCGCAAUAUUUUUGAGAUUUUCUUCUCCAAAAUUCCCAAGUCCAAAAAUAACUUCAGGGCGAAGGUCAAGUUGGAUUCAUCUGCUCUCUUUGCUGCCUCAAUAUCCUUGGCACGAACCAUGAGCCCAGAGAUGCCAAAAACAAGCUUUGACAUUGAGAUGGGAAAGCGGCAAGCGGUUGCUGCUGAAGAUUUUGAAGAAAUACAGAGCCAAAUUGAUAGUGUUGGUGGAUUGGAGAGGUGUGGAACGCAACCAAGGCACACAAACCAGGGUGACAAAGCCAACUGGGAGAUGUCACCUGAUAUUCGAAUGUUGGCUGCUGAGUUUGGAAUGGAACCCAGUUUCAAUGAUAGACAGAAAGUUCGUAGAGGCCAUUGAAGCCGGUUUCACCUAAACUAUAGUCAGAAAAGCAUGUCAAUGAUCUUAGAGCCUACUUGAAAAUUGCCAACCCUGCUGAUUAAAAUUGGCAACUGAACAGGUCUGCUAAGACAUUAAUCCAUCAGAAGGUUGUUUUUAGGCUUUAUUUGUCUCUGCAAGGAAGGAAUGUUCUGGUCUGGCUAACGUAUGCAGGGGUUCAUGUUGUAUAUCAUACUGCUUUGAGAGAUGCUUGGGGUCCAUUCGUUUCCUGUUGGUUGUUUAUCUUUGACAAGUACUUUGCAAAGGAUGGUGGUUUUUGCUAUUGAUACUGUUGGCCUGUGUAAUUGUCACCUUUUUCAUCAGAAAUUCUUGUUUACAGUGAGGAAUUUGGAGGUGCUGUCGAUCAGGACGCAAAUAGGAAUAAGUUGUUCAAACAAGAUAGUGAAUUCCAACAUCUUUUUUAAUGAUAAAGUUGUAAAUCAUGUGAUUAUGGAGGUAUUGCACUGAAAAUGAUCAUCGGUUAUAAAGAAAUUAGCAGCAACAAUACAAAUUACAUCAUUUCACUCGACUGCUAAA